UCUACGGGAGGCAGCAGUAGGGAAUCUUCCACAAUGGACGAAAGUCUGAUGGAGCAACGCCGCGUGAGUGAAGAAGGGUUUCGGCUCGUAAAACUCUGUUGUUAGAGAAGAACAGCCGUGAGAGCAACUGCUCACGGUAUGACGGUAUCUAACCAGAAAGUCACGGCUAACUACGUGCCAGCAGCCGCGGUAAUA
Molecule: ribosomal RNA, 195 nt
Filed under: uncultured bacterium
Lineage: Bacteria
Also listed under: 1 other name
Description: partial 16S ribosomal RNA
Rfam family: Bacterial small subunit ribosomal RNA
Source: RNAcentral